AUAUCAAUAAGCGGAGGAAAAGAAACCAACAGGGAUUGCCUCAGUAACGGCGAGUGAAGCGGCAACAGCUCAAAUUUGAAAUCUGGCUCUUUCAGGGUCCGAGUUGUAAUUUGUAGGAGGAUGUUUCGGGUGUCGGCUCCGGUCUAAGUUCCUUGGAACAGGACGUCAUAGAGGGUGAGAAUCCCGUAUGUGACUCGGUAGCCCUAUGCUCAUGUGAAACUCCUUCGACGAGUCGAGUUGUUUGGGAAUGCAGCUCUAAAUGGGAUGGUAAAUUUCAUUCUAAAGCUAAAUAUCUGGCCAGAGACCGAUAGCGCACAAGUAGAGUGAUCGAAAGAUGAAAAGCACUUUGGAAAGAGAGUCUAAAAAGUAC
RNAcentral lists this ribosomal RNA (370 nucleotides) under uncultured fungus. Its description in RNAcentral is "eukaryotic LSU rRNA". It matches the Rfam family "Eukaryotic large subunit ribosomal RNA", at positions 40 to 398 of the family's 3401-position model. Lineage: Eukaryota; Fungi. The record is from RNAcentral.